RNAcentral lists this ribosomal RNA (450 nucleotides) under uncultured bacterium. RNAcentral describes it as "partial 16S ribosomal RNA". It matches the Rfam family "Bacterial small subunit ribosomal RNA", at positions 354 to 796 of the family's 1533-position model. The record is from RNAcentral.
GUGGGGAAUAUUGGACAAUGGGCGAAAGCCUGAUCCAGCCAUGCCGCGUGUGUGAAGAAGGUCUUCGGAUUGUAAAGCACUUUAAGUUGGGAGGAGGGGCAGUAAGUUAAUACCUUGCUGUUUUGACGUUACCGACAGAAUAAGCACCGGCUAACUUCGUGCCAGCAGCCGCGGUAAUACGAAGGGUGCAAGCGUUAAUCGGAAUUACUGGGCGUAAAGCGCGCGUAGGUGGUUUUGUAAGUUGGAGGUGAAAUCCCCGGGCUCAACCUGGGAACUGCAUCCAAAACUGCAUGACUAGAGUACGGUAGAGGGUAGUGGAAUUUCCUGUGUAGCGGUGAAAUGCGUAGAUAUAGGAAGGAACACCAGUGGCGAAGGCGACUACCUGGACUGAUACUGACACUGAGGUGCGAAAGCGUGGGGAGCAAACAGGAUUAGAAACCCGAGUAGUCC